Molecule: ribosomal RNA, 2565 nt
Filed under: human gut metagenome
Description: bacterial LSU rRNA
Rfam family: Bacterial large subunit ribosomal RNA (bases 1-1962)
Source: RNAcentral
UAAAGCGUAAAAGAGCGUAGAGUGAAUGCCUUGGCAUUGGGAGCCGAUGAAGGACGUGGUUAACUGUGAAAAGCUACGGGGAGUCGUAAGCAGACAUUGAUCCGUAGAUGUCCGAAUGGAGCAAUCCGCAUGGAGUUAGUCCAUGCAUCCAUAAGUGAAUUCAUAGCUUAUGGAGGGGAACCGCCUGAACUGAAACAUCUAAGUAGGGCGAGGAAGAGAAAUCAAACGAGAUUUCGUAAGUAGUGGCGAGCGAACGCGAAAGAGGCUAAACCAAGAGAAGAAAUUCUUUUGGGGUUACGGACUGCGGAAUGUAUCUGAGGACUUAGCAGAAUGGUAUGGGAAAGCCAACCAGAGAAUGUGAUAGUCAUGUAUGCGAAAAGGAAUCAGAGCUAGCAGGAUCCAAAGUACCGCGGGACACGAGGAAUCCCGUGGGAAGUCGGGGGGACCACCCUCCAAGCCUAAAUACUACCCAAUGACCGAUAGCGAAAAGUACUGUGAAGGAACGGUGAAAAGAACCCCGGGAGGGGAGUGAAAAGAACCUGAAACUCUAUGCUUACAAGCACAUAGAGCACGUCAAAGUGUGAUAUGGUACCUUUUGUAGAAUGGUCCGGCGAGUUAUUGUAUGCAGCAAGGUUAAGGUCUUCAAGACUGAAGCCGAAGCGAGAGCGAGUCUGACAAGGGCGAUAAGUUGCAUGCAAUAGACCCGAAACCGGGUGACCUAGCCAUGUUCAGGUUGAAGUGGAGGUAAAGCUCCAUGGAGGACCGAACCGACCUCCGUUGAAAAGGCGGCGGAUGAAAUGUGGCUAGCGGAGAAAUUCCAAUCGAACCCGGAAAUAGCUGGUUCUCCCCGAAAUAGCUUUAGGGCUAGCGUUGUAUUAGAUUUCUGGGGGUAAAGCACUGAAUAGGCUAGGGGCCGAGAGGUUACUGAACCUUAUCAAACUAAGAAUACCAGAAAAUUGAUGUACAGCAGUCAGACUAUGUGAGAUAAGUCUCAUAGUCAAAAGGGAAACAGCCCAGACCCACAGCUAAGGUCCCAAAACAGAUUUAAGUGGAAAAGGAUGUGGGAUUGCCCAGACAACCAGGAUGUUGGCUUAGAAGCAGCCACACAUUAAAAGAGUGCGUAAUAGCUCACUGGUCGAGUGAUCCUGCGCCGAAAAUUCAACGGGGCUAAAAUUUGUACCGAAGCUUGGGCUUGAUACUUCGUAUCAGGGGUAGGGGAGCGUCAUGUAUGAGGAGAAGUCGUAGCGAAAGCGGUGGUGGAUUGUACAUGAGAGAGAAUGCCGGAAUGAGUAGCGAGAAUUAUGUGAGAAUCAUAAUGGCCGAAAAUCUAAGGUUUCCUGAGGAAGGUUCGUCCGCUCAGGGUAAGCCGGGAGCUAAGGUGAGGCGGAAACGCGUAGCCGAUGCACAUACGGUAGAGAUUCCGUAGCCUCCGAAAAGUAAAGCACAGGGACGCUUCAGAAGUGUUACGCCGGGCGAUGGUUGCCCCGGUUGUAAAGGACACGAUUGAGUGGAAGGUAACAUGGAUGGAGACAAGAAAAGCUGUGUGUAUCUGGAAGGAGCCCGUACCGCAAACCGACACAGGUAGAUAGGAAGAAGAUUCUAAGGCCAGCGGGAGAAGGGUUGUUAAGGAACUCGGCAAGUUGACCCCGUAACUUCGGGAGAAGGGGUGCUUACGAAGGUAAGCCGCAGAGAAUAGGCCCAAGCGACUGUUUAGCAAAAACACAGCUCUAUGCUAAAUCGAAAGAUGACGUAUAUGGGGUGACACCUGCCCGGUGCUGGAAGGUUAAGAGGAGAUGUGAGAGCAUUGAAUUGAAGCCCCAGUAAACGGCGGCCGUAACUAUAACGGUCCUAAGGUAGCGAAAUUCCUUGUCAGGUAAGUUCUGACCCGCACGAAUGGUGUAACGAUCUGGACACUGUCUCAACAACCCGCCCGGCGAAAUUGUAGUACUGGUGAACUUUGUUACAGCAGGAAUCGGCUCUACACCAAUUUCUUUUGAACCAGUCGUAUUCUGACCUUUUCCAUUAUUAAAUUCAUAACUAUUACUUACAUUAACGUUACCAAUAACAGAUUGAACAUUGCUGGGCAAAAUUGUUGUAUAAGUAAGCACAUAUUUUCCCAUAUACUCCGUAUCUGUAAUUUGAUAUCCGUCUUUAAGCUGUUUUCCCGUAAUUGUAAAAGAAGUUCCAUCGUCUCUUUUUACAGUUACAACGGUAUCAUCCGGAAUUGAGACAUUCACACCAGGAACAUCCUUAAUAACAGCACCAUUGAUAUUUAACGGACUUCCCUCAUUUAUGGUAAUCGUCCAGUCAAUUGAUUUCUCCUCAGAAUUAUAACUUCCGUUCUUUGUUACCCAUUUUUUUGUAAAUGUAUUUAUAACCUGAUUCCCGGAUAUUUCAUUUUUUCCUUCUGACUGGUAUGUAUAUGAAUUGCUCUUUGUAAUAGUAACUUCAUUAUUUCCAUUAUUAUACAUACUGUUAUAGUUGAUAAUUGAUGUCCAAUAUUCGAUUACAUAAUUAUCAUUAGCCGUCAUAUCCCCCAGAUUAAAGAUUGCUGUUUUUUCAUCU